Molecule: long non-coding RNA, 410 nt
Organism: Juglans microcarpa x Juglans regia
Lineage: Eukaryota; Viridiplantae; Streptophyta; Magnoliopsida; Fagales; Juglandaceae
Exons: 2
Source: RefSeq, a predicted model, not a curated record
UUAGGCCCUAUUUAUUCUUUUUGUUUUGUUCUUCUGCAGGUUUUUAUCUUGUUCAUUGUAAUAGUUUCAUUGCUUUUUGAGAGCCUUGCUCUAGCACUGCUUAAAGAUGAAAUCCAGAAGAGAGAUUAUACUAUUGAAUAGAAAUGAUGGGGUUUUGAAGAAGUUGGUGCUUCUGGAGCAACAAGUUGAAAUAAGGCAUUCACGCACGGUACUCCAACUAUAUUGGGCUUUUUCUAGUUGUUGUGUCAUGUUACUUAAUAGUAUUAUUUAAUUAAUUUCGGAACUUGGUUUGUAAGUACAUAACUUAAGUAUGUGUUUUUUACUUUAUGUGAAUCCAAAACAAUGUGGCUGGUAUAUAAAGUCUUGGUGAAGGCAACCGUUGAAAUGAAUAUAAAUCUAGCUUUUUACCA